GGUUAGUAAAGCUUCAAGCCCAGCGUGUGUCUUGAAAUCACAAGAAAGGAGUUAAAAUCUCCUGAUAACCU
This 71-nucleotide transfer RNA is filed under the name Calcaritermes cf. nigriceps. Its description in RNAcentral is "tRNA-Ser". The record is from RNAcentral. Lineage: Eukaryota; Metazoa; Arthropoda; Insecta; Blattodea; Kalotermitidae.